UGUAUUUAUUAGAUUAAAAACCAAUGCCCUUCGGGGCUCCUUGGUGAUUCAUAAUAACUUAACGAAUCGCAUGGCCUUGUGCCGGCGAUGGUUCAUUCAAAUUUCUGCCCUAUCAACUUUCGAUGGUAGUAUAUGGGACUACCAUGGUUUCAACGGGUAACGGGGAAUUAGGGUUCUAUUCCGGAGAGGGAGCCUGAGAAACGGCUACCACAUCCAAGGAAGGCAGCAGGCGCGCAAAUUACCCAAUCCCGACACGGGGAGGUAGUGACAAUAAAUACUGAUACAGGGCUCUUUUGGGUCUUGUAAUUGGAAUGAGUACAAUUUAAAUCCCUUAACGAGGAGCAAUUGGAGGGCAAGUCUGGUGCCAGCAGCCGCGGUAAUACCAGCUCCAAUAGCGUAUAUUAAAGUUGUUGCAGUUAAAAAGCUCGUAGUUGAACCUUGGGCCUGGCUGGCCGGUCCGCCUCACCGCGUGCACUGGUCCGGCCGGGUCUUUCCUCCUGGGGAGCCGCAUGCCCUUCACUGGGUGUGUCGGGGAACCAGG
Molecule: ribosomal RNA, 541 nt
Filed under: uncultured eukaryote
Lineage: Eukaryota
Description: SSU rRNA
Rfam family: Eukaryotic small subunit ribosomal RNA
Source: RNAcentral